RNAcentral lists this unclassified non-coding RNA (1254 nucleotides) under Hevea brasiliensis (rubber tree). Lineage: Eukaryota; Viridiplantae; Streptophyta; Magnoliopsida; Malpighiales; Euphorbiaceae. The record is from RNAcentral.
UUUUUUUUUUUUUAAUAAUUUUUAUUUUAUUUUCCUAUAAUACAUACUUACAAACACCAAAAUUGUCUCGCCAAGGAAACACAAAUGAAGACAGACAGUUCUAUCGAGUUACAGCGGCUGCCAUGGCGGGAAUAGGAAUGGGUGAUGGUACAAUGGCAGCCAUAUGAUCUUCAUCGUAAACGAAUCGCUCCACGAUCAUGGAACUAGGACCCGCCACAAGCUUCUCCCAUGCUUCUUCAGCUUCUUCUCCGCUUUUUAAAAAUACUUCUGUAGCGUCGAUGCGAUGCAUAUUCCAACUCCAUCGACUAUAAAGCCGAUGGAUUUUUUGCAAUUGACGGCACGCUAGAAUACAUGUGUUCUCUGUAAUUUUUGCAAUAGCUACGUCCAGGAGCUUGGCUCGAGUUUUGGCAUCCACUAUUGAUUCACUUCGGAAAUAAUGAUCCAAUUCAGGGACUCCAAUUGCUCGUCUUAUUCCUUGUGAAUAGUUAGUUUUGUUUGGAUCAAAUAUGUUUCUCACCUCGUUAACCAAUCCAGCUUUCACCAUUCGAUGGACUCGUUCAGCUACAAAUGAAUGCAGCACAGGCAACGAUACAUCCACCCAAAAGAAGCAGCAUUCGUACCUCAAUCGAAAAUCAGGAUCCUCAUUCGCUAAAGCCUCAAUGAAAGAAUUAGAACCGCCAGCAAUGAUUGGUAAGCGAUCACGAGCGACAAUGGAUUGGACGGCAUCGGAGGCAUGAUAGCGAAAGUCAUCGCAAGUGAAAUUGGCAUUAGGGUCUACUACUACACCUAUCAAAUGAUGAGGCACACCGCGACACUCCUCUUGAGUCACCUUAUUAGUGACUAUAUCGAGGCCUUUAUAGACUUGCAUUUUGUCGCAAUUAACGACCUCCGCUGGGAUACGAGUUGCGAGGUCAAUAGCCAAUCUUGAUUUACCAGUGCCGGUUGGGCCUACAACGAACACAACCUUAUCUUUUCGGCGAAAGAAAGGCUCCAUAUUUAUGGCUCUUUGUAAAUUCACAAGGGGCUGUAUUUGCUUUUGGACCGAAGCCGAAAACCUCAUAUUCAUUAUUCACUUAAUUACCUUUAAUAUGCAGCGAAUCGUCGCAGAGGAGAAUGAAAUGAAAUGGGUUGUACUUGUACAAGCUUCUCUUUUUGCGUGAGCAGCAGAGGGAGAAGAAAAGAAAAGUGUGAGAGAAAGAGAUGAGAGAAGUUGGGAAGAAAUGGGGGAUAUGUGUAUGCAAAAGCAAAGCUAUU